RNAcentral lists this ribosomal RNA (1701 nucleotides) under Triticum aestivum (bread wheat). Its description in RNAcentral is "partial small subunit ribosomal RNA". Lineage: Eukaryota; Viridiplantae; Streptophyta; Magnoliopsida; Poales; Poaceae. The record is from RNAcentral.
AUGGACAAGGAGAGGUUCAGGAAAAGAAGGUUGAUGCUUAUAAAGGCCGCUGCAUCCGUGUCUUCGUGUAUGGUCAUGUUGUAUGUCCGGCCCAGACUACAGAGAAAGAAAGAGAGUAUUUCCUAUGGGCCAAUCGAGGCAAGGGACAAGAAAAGGAUUGCCUUUCUAAAUAAUCAGAUUUACAAGGAUGAUAUAACUUGUCAGACAACGCUGAGGCUUACGAGGGCUUCUUUUUUCGGGUUGUGCCAAGUUUUGAGGGAACGCUCUUUGCUCCGUGACACUGUUCAUAUAUGUAUUGAGGAGCAAGUCGCCAUGUUCUUGAUCACAGUAGGACACAACCUUCGGAAUAGGGUUGUAAGUGCUAUUUUUAAUAGGUCAGGUGAACCAGUUAGUCGCUAUUUUGGACUAGUCCUCCAUGCUAUAGUUCAUCUAAGGGAUGAGUUUAUUAGUCCACCAUCAUUGGAGACCCCAACCAGAAUUGCUGGCGACCCAAGAUGGGACCCAUACUUCAAGGAUUGUAUUGGAGUCAUUGAUUGUACACAGGUACAGGCUUCUUCCUGUAAGAACGUGGAGACUGCCUUCCGUGGUAAGAAGUUAGUUGCAAGCCAAAAUGUGAUGGCAGCAAUUGAUUUUGACCUUCGUUUCACACAUGUGCUGGCUCGUUGGGAGGGAUCUGCACAUGACGAUGCUGUUUUAGUGGAUGCGAUAGAGUGCGAGAAUGGCCCAUGUGUUCCUCAAGGUAAAUUCUACCUAGUGGAAGCCGGAUAUGGAGCCAAACCUGGAUUUUUGCCACCUUUCCACAGCAUACAAUAUCACUUUACUGUGUGGGGGAACAAUCAUGUGCGAGAUGCAAGGGAAUUGUUCAAUCUUAGACACUCAUCUCUACGAGUACCUAUAGAACGUGCAUUCGCAUCACUCAAGCGAAGAUUUAAAGUUCUAGAUGAUGCAAAUCCAUUCUUUCCCUCCGCUACCCAAGUGGAUGUUGUGAUAGCUUGCGUCAUCCUCCACAACUGGGUUCUUUCCCAAGGCACUGAUUGUUUCAUUAUACCGGAGAUUAAUUGGAAACCUAAACCCCCUAGUUCUCAGAUAGAGCAUACCCAUGACGAUAGACACAUGGUUGAGUUCAGACAAGCCCUUGCUGACAAAAUGUGGGAAGACCAUCAAAACUAUCACCGCAAUGAUGCUGACUUCUUGAACACUCCAACUUACUAUCACGAGAUGGCCACAAUCUUCAGUGAUAGUGUGGCUCCUGAUGUAUACGCUAAGAGUGUGGAUGAGCUUCUUGCUGUAGAUGUGGCCGGGAAUGAAAUUGUUACUGGAGGAAAUGACACUUUUGCUGCCAGUGUUGAAGAGUUUACACUGCCUUUUCCUAUUCCCGACUGGGGGAAGAAUGGCGAUUCCUCUAGCAGUAAAGCAUCGAAAAGGGCCAAGGUAAACAAUGAUGACGAGUUGAUGCAUUUGAUGACCAGCCUUGAUAACCUUGCCAAAGCUAUAGAGAAAUCUGAAUGCGUAGAUACAGAUGUCCCUGACGAUCUUUGGGGUAACCUGAUGAAUCUCCCUGGAUUUGAAGAGGCGCAUCUUACCCAUUACUAUGCUCAUCUAGUUGAGAAUGCUGCAAUUGGUAGAGCAUUCAACAAACUUAGCAUGUCCAACAAAAUGACAUGGGUAGCUAGAUAUAUCGAGAACCACCUUUCUGAGUAG